This 252-nucleotide ribosomal RNA is filed under the name uncultured bacterium. RNAcentral describes it as "partial 16S ribosomal RNA". It matches the Rfam family "Bacterial small subunit ribosomal RNA", at positions 524 to 776 of the family's 1533-position model. The record is from RNAcentral.
UACGGAGGAUGCGAGCGUUAUCCGGAUUUAUUGGGUUUAAAGGGUGCGUAGGCGGAUCGUUAAGUCAGUGGUCAAAUUGAGGGGCUCAACCCCUUCCCGCCAUUGAAACUGGCGAUCUUGAGUGGAAGAGAAGUAUGCGGAAUGCGAGGUGUAGCGGUGAAAUGCAUAGAUAUCACGCAGAACCCCGAUUGCGAAGGCAGCAUGCCGGCUUCCGACUGACGCUGAAGCACGAAAGCGUGGGGAUCGAACAGG